Molecule: ribosomal RNA, 322 nt
Filed under: uncultured Anoxybacillus sp.
Lineage: Bacteria; Bacillati; Bacillota; Bacilli; Caryophanales; Anoxybacillaceae
Description: bacterial SSU rRNA
Rfam family: Bacterial small subunit ribosomal RNA
Source: RNAcentral
CUCGUGUCGUGAGAUGUUGGUUAAGUCCCGCAACGAGCGCAACCCUCGACCUUAGUUGCCAGCAUUCAGUUGGGCACUCUAAGGUGACUGCCGGCUAAAAGUCGGAGGAAGGUGGGGAUGACGUCAAAUCAUCAUGCCCCUUAUGACCUGGGCUACACACGUGCUACAAUGGGCGGUACAAAGGGUCGCGAACCCGCGAGGGGGGAGCCAAUCCCAAAAAGCCGCUCUCAGUUCGGAUUGCAGGCUGCAACUCGCCUGCAUGAAGCCGGAAUCGCUAGUAAUCGCGGAUCAGCACGCCGCGGUGAAUACGUUCCCGGGCCUU